GACGAACGCUGGCGGCGUGCUUAACACAUGCAAGUCGAACGGAAAGGCCCUGCUUUUGUGGGGUGCUCGAGUGGCGAACGGGUGAGUAACACGUGAGUAACCUGCCCUUGACUUUGGGAUAACUUCAGGAAACUGGGGCUAAUACCGGAUAGGAGCUCCUGCUGCAUGGUGGGGGUUGGAAAGUUUCGGCGGUUGGGGAUGGACUCGCGGCUUAUCAGCUUGUUGGUGGGGUAGUGGCUUACCAAGGCUUUGACGGGUAGCCGGCCUGAGAGGGUGACCGGCCACAUUGGGACUGAGAUACGGCCAAGACUCCUACGGGAGGCAGCAGUGGGGAAUAUUGCAAAAUGGGCGGAAGCCUGAUGCAGAAACGCCGCGUGCGGGAUGACGGCAUUCGGGUUGUAAACCGCUUUCGCCUGUGACGAAGAGUGAGUGACGGUAAUGGGUAAAGAAGCACCGGCUAACUCCGUG
Molecule: ribosomal RNA, 468 nt
Filed under: uncultured bacterium
Lineage: Bacteria
Description: partial 16S ribosomal RNA
Rfam family: Bacterial small subunit ribosomal RNA
Source: RNAcentral